GCGGGUAUGAUGGAAUUGGCAGACAUGUGAGAUUUAGGUUCUCAUGUCGCAAGACGUGCAGGUUCGAGUCCUGUUACCCGCACCA
Molecule: transfer RNA, 85 nt
Filed under: Clostridiales bacterium
Lineage: Bacteria; Bacillati; Bacillota; Clostridia; Eubacteriales
Also listed under: 1 other name
Description: tRNA-Leu
Rfam family: tRNA
About the family: Transfer RNA (tRNA) molecules are approximately 80 nucleotides in length. Their secondary structure includes four short double-helical elements and three loops (D, anti-codon, and T loops). Further hydrogen bonds mediate the characteristic L-shaped molecular structure. tRNAs have two regions of fundamental functional importance: the anti-codon, which is responsible for specific mRNA codon recognition, and the 3' end, to which the tRNAs corresponding amino acid is attached (by aminoacyl-tRNA synthetases). tRNAs cope with the degeneracy of the genetic code in two manners: having more than one tRNA (with a specific anti-codon) for a particular amino acid; and 'wobble' base-pairing, i.e. permitting non-standard base-pairing at the 3rd anti-codon position.
Source: RNAcentral